AUUGAACGCUGGCGGCAUGCCUUACACAUGCAAGUCGAACGGCAGCACGGACUUCGGUCUGGUGGCGAGUGGCGAACGGGUGAGUAAUAUAUCGGAACAUACCCUAGAGUGGGGGAUAACGUAGCGAAAGUUACGCUAAUACCGCAUACGAACUAAGGUUGAAAGUGGGGGAUCGCAAGACCUCAUGCUCAUGGAGUGGCCGAUAUCUGAUUAGCUAGUUGGUGAGGUAAAGGCUCACCAAGGCGACGAUCAGUAGCUGGUUUGAGAGAACGACCAGCCACACUGGAACUGAGACACGGUCCAGACUCCUACGGGAGGCAGCAGUGGGGGAAUUUUUGGACAAUGGGCGCAAGACCUGAUCCAGCAAUGCCGCGUGAGUGAAGAAAGG
RNAcentral lists this ribosomal RNA (388 nucleotides) under uncultured bacterium. Its description in RNAcentral is "bacterial SSU rRNA". It matches the Rfam family "Bacterial small subunit ribosomal RNA", at positions 30 to 415 of the family's 1533-position model. The record is from RNAcentral.